Molecule: transfer RNA, 78 nt
Filed under: Leptolyngbya sp. Cla-17
Lineage: Bacteria; Bacillati; Cyanobacteriota; Cyanophyceae; Leptolyngbyales; Leptolyngbyaceae
Description: tRNA-Ala
Rfam family: tRNA
About the family: Transfer RNA (tRNA) molecules are approximately 80 nucleotides in length. Their secondary structure includes four short double-helical elements and three loops (D, anti-codon, and T loops).
Source: RNAcentral
GGGUCUGUAGCUUAACUGGGAAAGCGUCUGCCUUGCAAGCAGAAAGAUGUCGGUUUCAACUCCGACCAGAAUCCACCA